Molecule: transfer RNA, 75 nt
Filed under: Sphingomonas sp.
Lineage: Bacteria; Pseudomonadati; Pseudomonadota; Alphaproteobacteria; Sphingomonadales; Sphingomonadaceae
Also listed under: 3 other names
Description: tRNA-Val
Rfam family: tRNA
About the family: Transfer RNA (tRNA) molecules are approximately 80 nucleotides in length. Their secondary structure includes four short double-helical elements and three loops (D, anti-codon, and T loops).
Source: RNAcentral
GGGCGCGUAGCUCAGUGGUAGAGCACACCCUUCACACGGGUGGGGUCGUAGGUUCAAACCCUACCGCGCCCACCA